Long non-coding RNA from Oncorhynchus keta (chum salmon), 427 nucleotides. RefSeq lists it as uncharacterized. NCBI's taxonomy places the organism in Eukaryota, Metazoa, Chordata, Actinopteri, Salmoniformes, Salmonidae. The transcript is spliced from 2 exons. The record is from RefSeq and is a predicted model, not a curated record.
AUGGCUGAGCAGUGAUAGUUGUACAUUUCCAUCACCUGUUGUGUUGAUUUCAUCAUGUCCAUUUGUUUAUGUUUUCUCACUUUUGCAAAGUCACUGUGCAUUUGCAAUAUGGUUCAAUGGGCAGGUACCAUCACGAAUUUGUCAUGCUAUAAAAAUCCUGCAGGAAUGUGAAAUUGACUGGUCUGAUGAACACAGGAUGGCCGAGCAGUGAUAGUUGUACAUUUCCAUCACUUGUUGUGUUGAUUUCAUCAUGUCCAUUAGGUGAUGUUUUUUUCACUAUAGAAUCAUAUUGCAAAUGCACGUGCAUUGUUGUGCAACUGGUAACCCAAAAAUAAAAAUAUGGUUGUAAAUGCAUUUACCGGUCAUUCUGAUAUUAAUGCUCGCUAUGGGAACACAGGAUGGCCGGGCAGUGAUAGUUGUACAUUUC